Non-coding RNA from Dermacentor andersoni, 3013 nucleotides. The record is from RefSeq and is a predicted model, not a curated record. NCBI's taxonomy places the organism in Eukaryota, Metazoa, Arthropoda, Arachnida, Ixodida, Ixodidae.
CGACGCCGAAACGCUCCGAAGUACAGUCCUGUAAGUCACUGGUUCCUUUCUGUUUAGUCACGCACGCCCGUUAAGAAACAUUUUUCGUGCUCACCUGGGCAAGAAAUGAAAAACGCUGGAAACAUUCUGUGAACGUUAACUCGGACAAUGCGACUGUGGUACUAAAAUUUCAUAGGAGUGCCUUAAGCUGUGCAUAGAAAACAUUUGCAAUAUCUACAAUAUUGAGUGUAUUAGCACUACAAUUCGAGGUCACAAGAUCUGCAAUGCUGAAAUUGCAGAAAAUUAGGGAAAACCAAAUCGCUCCUUUUUCUUCGCAAGCAAGUAUUAAAAUUUCCAUGACGUGACAAGCGAAACGAACAAAGGGUUCUGUACUGGAAUUCGUUUCUUAUGACAAAAUUCAAUUGUUCAACUGCUUGUGUUUGCGCGCAGCCCCAGAAGCCAGCUGUUCACAGCCACCAAGGAAGCGCACCAGACACAACAAGCAGUCGGAGCUGCGUGAACUGUUCGCCGAUCAGCAAAGCAGAAGUGCCGAGCUCUUAAGACAGCACACAGACAUGAUAUUUCAACAGCAGCGGCCCCUUUUACAGGAGGAACGGAAUAAGAUGAAUCAAUUCAUGGCAAACACUACAACCUCCUUCCUUGAAGGCACUCGAGACCUUUUGCCACAGCCAACAGAUGCAAAUGACAGGCCACCAGCCAGCAGUGUUCAGCUUUCCUACACAAGGACCUUUCGUCAGAGCAGGGGUGGCCUCCAAUAUCACAAGCUUCCAACAAUGGCACCCGUCAAACUCGACGCAAGGAUGAACUAGCGCAACCAAACUUUUCUGGCUCAACCACAUCAAGGUCACCUCGCUCAUAGGUGACUCAUAUUAAGUGUGUUUCGUUGGGUGCUAGAAACAGCUGGUGCUCUCUGAUGUUCCUUAAAAAUUUGCUCACAGGCACUGUAGCACUCUAGUCACUUUCGUUGUUUUUUCUGCGAGUCUGUGGUGCUGUCUCGCGCACAUUUUGUUUUGCUGGACCCAUACUAAUAUUUUGCGCGUUUUAUCUCAGUAAGGAAUCUGGUGCCUAGCCAUUGAUUUUUUUUUUUUUUUUGCUGUGCGUCUGCUCACUUGUAUAUGGCUCAUAUUCAGUGUGCUUUGCUAAGUGCUGGAAACAGUUGGUGCUGUCCGACAUUUUUGUACUCUAGUCACUCUUGCUAUUCUUCGCUGUGGGUCGCUCUUAUUGCAUUGCCUACAUUUUUUACUAUUUCAUCAGAUAUCAAAAGGUGGGUUGUCUAUCCUGUCUGGUUAUUUUUUGCUGUCAGUCACCGUUUACAUGGUACUUACAUUUUUUUAUUUUAUCUAUUUUCUCGGGAGUGUGGGUGUUGCCUGCAGCAGUGACAGAACACACCUCAGAGUUCAAAAUGUAUUUCUCAUUCCUGCAGUCACCAAGGUAUGUGGGCUCAUCAAAUUGGUUAGGCUAUGUGCGUACGCAAGCCGCUUGCAUCCACUAAACUAAAACCCUCUAUGUAGCCAACCUUAGUGUAUGCACAUAGAUUCGUGAGCAGUACUUGUUUACCACUUCAAGGUCUGGACACACCAACAAAAUGUCUUUUUUAAUGAAGACAUUGGCCGUUCACUCCGGGUUGCUCGGGAUGGUAGGGCUGAUUUCCCUGCACAUUCAUUCUGCCAAGUAAGGUACAUACUCUCUUCUGGACAUAGAGCUAAACACAGUGCUGCACAUUGAAACUCUCUAGGUAUUCAUUAUUUUUGCAUGAAAGAGUAUGUAUAUAGGAAAAUCUGCAAGCUUGCUUAGGAAGUAAUGGUGGGCUAGUUGGUUGUACACAAUCUUCAAGAAACAGCGCUAUCAAUAGGACAGCGCUGUUUUCCAAGGGUCGUGCAAGCGCUCAUGACUACAUACACGUGUUCUUGGUUUAAUGUUACGUUGCAGUCAAAUAAAGCCAAGGGCAGCAACCAUAUGGAGCUAGAAGGCCUGAAGAGGUCACUGGAAACAUGCGAGGUUAAUGGCCUCGAGAUUUCAACUCUAGUGACUGACAGUCACCCUCGGAUGAAGGUGUUUACAUCAAAGGAGAUCUGCAUAAAGUACAACUUUGAUUUCUGGCACGUUGCCAGGUGUGGGUUCUGCUUUAACUUUUUUAGAAGCACAAGUACAAUUCAACCAUCUGGGCUCUCAAAUUUUAAUUCAUGAUGCAUCUGGUUAUCCCAAUUUUUAUGCAGUGCUCAAUCAAAAAAAAAAAGAAAAAAAAAAGCUGACAGCAGCAUCGCAGCUCAAGUUUCAGGAGCCGACUCCAUGGAUUAAGCCGGGCACAACCUGAGCUAGUUCUUGCUACAUGGCGCUCCCUUGUCCGUCAUGUCAUUGACAUUCACACACAUGAUGAGAACCUUUAUCCAAGGUGCGAGCGUGAGCCAUUGGCUAAGAAGUGGCUGGAAGAAGGCUAUGUGAACGACUUUCUAAACUGUGCUGUGGACCUUUGCCAGAAUGCAAGCUCCUACAGGAAGGCACUGGAACGAACCUCCACCAUAUGCCUCCACUUUCAAGCAACUUCCAAAGUGCUGACAAAGAAGCUCUCGUGGCAGCACAUACAAGGCGCUUUAAUAUUUGACUAACAUGGCAGUAGUUCACUGAACAAGACAUGUCACUUUGGCAGAAAACUCUGGGCGUUUAUUGAGGAAGAACUGCCAUCAUGCAUCCAGGUAGCCAGUGCAAUGCUCUCCUGCUGUAGGAAACUUUCCUCAUCCUAUAAACAGCACAGCUUCGUAGAACAACCCGGUUACCUUGACCAAGUCGCCUGUACACUCACCGAACUGUUGGUAUCAGUAUAGACUGCAAAAAAAGGAAACGCACAAUAAAAUAGAUUAAGAAAUGCACUGCAUGUCUAUCACAUGCCAUGAACUGUUCGUUUAAUUGUGUCUAAAUAAAACAAGCCCUCGAUCCAUUCCCUUUGUCUCGUUUAUGUCAUGCAAUCUAUGCAGCAGUGACUGGGCUUCACGAUUCUUUUUGGCCUCAUUGCUGA